UCUUAAGUACAAUUGAAUACCAUACAGAAUAUGAUUAUUUUUCCUUGUAUUUAUGGAUAUCUUUCCAUUUUUGGAUCCUGCAGACUUCAGUAUUCAAUCUUCUCCUCUGUUUCACUCAUUCCUUUUUAUAUCUCAACCAUUCUCAUGACCUUAAAUAUUAUCUGAACACUUCUUCUGGACAGCAAGGAGUGGAGAGCAGAAGACCAGCAUUUUCACCAAGAACAACUGUGAAAACAUUCACAGUUAAAUAAAGU
RNAcentral lists this long non-coding RNA (254 nucleotides) under Homo sapiens (human). Its description in RNAcentral is "non-protein coding lnc-POU3F2-4:1". Lineage: Eukaryota; Metazoa; Chordata; Mammalia; Primates; Hominidae. The record is from RNAcentral.